RNAcentral lists this transfer RNA (90 nucleotides) under Minisyncoccota bacterium. RNAcentral describes it as "tRNA-OTHER". It matches the Rfam family "tRNA". Rfam says of the family: Transfer RNA (tRNA) molecules are approximately 80 nucleotides in length. Their secondary structure includes four short double-helical elements and three loops (D, anti-codon, and T loops). Lineage: Bacteria; Bacillati; Minisyncoccota. The record is from RNAcentral.
GGUCUCGUAGCUCAGUCUGAUUAGAGCGUAGCACCAGUAGAUUGCCAGGAGCUGGUUCUGAGGUCGCGGGUUUGAAUCCCGUCGAGAUCA